Molecule: ribosomal RNA, 1530 nt
Filed under: Escherichia coli KTE178
Lineage: Bacteria; Pseudomonadati; Pseudomonadota; Gammaproteobacteria; Enterobacterales; Enterobacteriaceae
Description: bacterial SSU rRNA
Rfam family: Bacterial small subunit ribosomal RNA
Source: RNAcentral
AGAGUUUGAUCAUGGCUCAGAUUGAACGCUGGCGGCAGGCCUAACACAUGCAAGUCGAACGGUAACAGGAAACAGCUUGCUGUUUCGCUGACGAGUGGCGGACGGGUGAGUAAUAUCUGGGAAACUGCCCGAUGGAGGGGGAUAACUACUGGAAACGGUAGCUAAUACCGCAUAACGUCGCAAGACCAAAGAGGGGGACCUUCGGGCCUCUUGCCAUCGGAUGUGCCCAGAUGGGAUUAGCUAGUAGGUGGGGUAACGGCUCACCUAGGCGACGAUCCCUAGCUGGUCUGAGAGGAUGACCAGCCACACUGGAACUGAGACACGGUCCAGACUCCUACGGGAGGCAGCAGUGGGGAAUAUUGCACAAUGGGCGCAAGCCUGAUGCAGCCAUGCCGCGUGUAUGAAGAAGGCCUUCGGGUUGUAAAGUACUUUCAGCGGGGAGGAAGGGAGUAAAGUUAAUACCUUUGCUCAUUGACGUUACCCGCAGAAGAAGCACCGGCUAACUCCGUGCCAGCAGCCGCGGUAAUACGGAGGGUGCAAGCGUUAAUCGGAAUUACUGGGCGUAAAGCGCACGCAGGCGGUUUGUUAAGUCAGAUGUGAAAUCCCCGGGCUCAACCUGGGAACUGCAUCUGAUACUGGCAAGCUUGAGUCUCGUAGAGGGGGGUAGAAUUCCAGGUGUAGCGGUGAAAUGCGUAGAGAUCUGGAGGAAUACCGGUGGCGAAGGCGGCCCCCUGGACGAAGACUGACGCUCAGGUGCGAAAGCGUGGGGAGCAAACAGGAUUAGAUACCCUGGUAGUCCACGCCGUAAACGAUGUCGACUUGGAGGUUGUGCCCUUGAGGCGUGGCUUCCGGAGCUAACGCGUUAAGUCGACCGCCUGGGGAGUACGGCCGCAAGGUUAAAACUCAAAUGAAUUGACGGGGGCCCGCACAAGCGGUGGAGCAUGUGGUUUAAUUCGAUGCAACGCGAAGAACCUUACCUGGUCUUGACAUCCACGGAAGUUUUCAGAGAUGAGAAUGUGCCUUCGGGAACCGUGAGACAGGUGCUGCAUGGCUGUCGUCAGCUCGUGUUGUGAAAUGUUGGGUUAAGUCCCGCAACGAGCGCAACCCUUAUCCUUUGUUGCCAGCGGUCCGGCCGGGAACUCAAAGGAGACUGCCAGUGAUAAACUGGAGGAAGGUGGGGAUGACGUCAAGUCAUCAUGGCCCUUACGACCAGGGCUACACACGUGCUACAAUGGCGCAUACAAAGAGAAGCGACCUCGCGAGAGCAAGCGGACCUCAUAAAGUGCGUCGUAGUCCGGAUUGGAGUCUGCAACUCGACUCCAUGAAGUCGGAAUCGCUAGUAAUCGUGGAUCAGAAUGCCACGGUGAAUACGUUCCCGGGCCUUGUACACACCGCCCGUCACACCAUGGGAGUGGGUUGCAAAAGAAGUAGGUAGCUUAACCUUCGGGAGGGCGCUUACCACUUUGUGAUUCAUGACUGGGGUGAAGUCGUAACAAGGUAACCGUAGGGGAACCUGCGGUUGGAUCACCU